This 549-nucleotide small RNA is filed under the name Pan troglodytes (chimpanzee). RNAcentral describes it as "processed transcript". The record is from RNAcentral. Lineage: Eukaryota; Metazoa; Chordata; Mammalia; Primates; Hominidae.
GCUGAGCUCAGCGCUGACACUCACAGGAGCUGCGUUCGCCGGAUCCUCUGAGAGGCUCUGCAACGAUCCCGAUCCAAUUCAGCAGCGUUUUAAAAGACGGAGUCUUGCUCUGGCGCCAGGUGGGAGUGCAGUGGCGAGAUCUCGGGUCACUGCAACCUCCACCUCCUGGGUUCAAGUGAUUCUCCUGCCUCAGCCUCCCAAGUAGCUGGGACUACAGGUGCCCGCCACCACACCCGGCCAAUUUGUGUAUUUUAAUACACAACAGUAUUUCGCCAUGUUGGCCAGGAUUGUCUCGAUCUCCUGACCUCGGGGUCUGCCACCUCCACCUCCCAAAGUGCUGGGAUUACAGGCGUGAGCCACCACACUCGGCCCAUGAAUUUUUUUAGUAAAAUUGAUUUGCUUUUAUAAUAGAAGAUUAUUUAGACUGUAGUUUAAAAUUCUAAAUGGAACAUGACAAGUUUAAGAAUUCAAAAAUAUCACUUGUUGGAUCCUACCUUUUCAAGAUAAUGACUACAUCUUUACAAUUGCUGCCUUUAGCACUGCAAAUUA